This 309-nucleotide ribosomal RNA is filed under the name uncultured eukaryote. Its description in RNAcentral is "partial 18S ribosomal RNA". It matches the Rfam family "Eukaryotic small subunit ribosomal RNA", at positions 1470 to 1796 of the family's 1831-position model. The record is from RNAcentral.
CCCUUAGAUGUUCUGGGCGGCCCGCCCACUACAUUGGCACUGUCAGCAAGGGUCUGAAACUAAAACUUUUGGGUAUUCUGAGAACCGGUGUCGUGACUGGGAUUGACCCUUGCAAUUAUUGGUUAUGAACGAGGAAUUCCUUGUAAUCGCGGUUUAUCAGCCCGCGUUGAAUGCGUCCCUGCCCUUUGUACACACCGCCCGUCGCUCCUACCGAUGAAUCGUCCGGUGAAGUUCAUGGAGUAGUGGUUGUUCCAUCCGCUGUCGAAGUGAAAUAAACCUCAUGAUUUAGAGGAAGGAGAAGUCGUAACA